RNAcentral lists this unclassified non-coding RNA (328 nucleotides) under soil metagenome. RNAcentral describes it as "partial contains 5.8S ribosomal RNA, internal transcribed spacer 2, and large subunit ribosomal RNA". The stretch from base 1 to 120 matches the Rfam family "5.8S ribosomal RNA", at positions 35 to 154 of the family's 154-position model. The record is from RNAcentral.
GAUGAAGAACGCAGCGAAAUGCGAUAAGUAAUGUGAAUUGCAGAAUUCAGUGAAUCAUCGAAUCUUUGAACGCACAUUGCGCCCUCUGGUAUUCCGGGGGGCAUGCCUGUUCGAGCGUCAUUAUAACCACUCAAGCUCUCGCUUGGUAUUGGAGUUCGCGAUCUCGCGGCUCCUAAAAUCAGUGGCGGUGCCUGUCGGCUCUACGCGUAGUAAUACUCCUCGCGAUUGAGUCCGGUAGGUUUACUUGCCAGCAACCCCCAAUUUUUACAGGUUGACCUCGGAUCAGGUAGGGAUACCCGCUGAACUUAAGCAUAUCAAAAGCGGAGGA